CCUACGGGAGGCAGCAGUGAGGAAUAUUGGUCAAUGGCCGGAAGGCUGAACCAGCCAAGUCGCGUGAGGGACGACUGCCCUAUGGGUUGUAAACCUCUUUUGUUCAAGGGCAAGGCACGGUCUUUGGCCGUGUUGAGUGGAUUGUUCGAAUAAGCACCGGCUAACUACGUGCCAGCAGCCGCGGUAAUACGUAGGGUGCAAGCGUUAUCCGGAUUUAUUGGGCGUAAAGGGCUCGUAGGCGGUUCGUCGCGUCCGGUGUGAAAGUCCAUCGCUUAACGGUGGAUCCGCGCCGGGUACGGGCGGGCUUGAGUGCGGUAGGGGAGACUGGAAUUCCCGGUGUAACGGUGGAAUGUGUAGAUAUCGGGAAGAACACCAAUGGCGAAGGCAGGUCUCUGGGCCGUUACUGACGCUGAGGAGCGAAAGCGUGGGGAGCGAACAGGAUUAGAUACCCCAGUAGUC
This 459-nucleotide ribosomal RNA is filed under the name uncultured bacterium. RNAcentral describes it as "partial 16S ribosomal RNA". It matches the Rfam family "Bacterial small subunit ribosomal RNA", at positions 338 to 795 of the family's 1533-position model. The record is from RNAcentral.